CGAACGCUGGCGGCGUGCCUAAUACAUGCAAGUCGAACGCACUCUCGUUUAGAUUGAAGGAGCUUGCUCCUGAUUGAUAACAUUUGAGUGAGUGGCGGACGGGUGAGUAACACGUGGGUAACCUGCCCUAAAGUGGGGGAUAACAUUUGGAAACAGAUGCUAAUACCGCAUAAAACCUAACACCGCAUGGUGUAGGGUUGAAAGAUGGUUUCGGCUAUCACUUUAGGAUGGACCCGCGGUGCAUUAGUUAGUUGGUGAGGUAAAGGCUCACCAAGACCGUGAUGCAUAGCCGACCUGAGAGGGUAAUCGGCCACACUGGGACUGAGACACGGCCCAGACUCCUACGGGAGGCAGCAGUAGGGAAUCUUCCACAAUGGACGAAAGUCUGAUGGAGCAACGCCGCGUGAGUGAAGAAGGUUUUCGGAUCGUAAAACUCUGUUGUUGGAGAAGAAUGUAUCUGUUAGUAACUGAUCAGGUAGUGACGGUAUCCAACCAGAAAGCCACGGCUAACUACGUG
Molecule: ribosomal RNA, 517 nt
Filed under: uncultured bacterium
Lineage: Bacteria
Description: bacterial SSU rRNA
Rfam family: Bacterial small subunit ribosomal RNA
Source: RNAcentral